Molecule: ribosomal RNA, 497 nt
Filed under: uncultured bacterium
Lineage: Bacteria
Description: partial 16S ribosomal RNA
Rfam family: Bacterial small subunit ribosomal RNA
Source: RNAcentral
GAUGAACGCUGGCGGCGUGCCUAAUACAUGCAAGUCGAGCGAACAGACGAGGAGCUUGCUCCUCUGACGUUAGCGGCGGACGGGUGAGUAACACGUGGUUCACCUCCCUAUAAGACUGGGAUAACUUCGGGAAACCGGAGCUAAUACCGGAUAAUAUAUUGAACCGCAUGGUUCAAUAGUGAAAGCCGGUUUUGCUGUCAGUUAUAGAUGGAUCCGCGCCGCAUUAGCUAGUUGGUAAGGUAACGGCUUACCAAGGCAACGAUGCGUAGCCGACCGGAGAGAGUGAUAGGCCGCACGGGAACGGAGACACGGUCCAGACUCCUACGGGAGGCAGCAGUAGGGAAUCGGCCGCAAUGGGCGAAAGCCUUACGGAGCAACGCCGCGUGAGUGAUGAAGGUCUUCGGAUCGUAAAACUCUGUUAUUAGGGAAGAACAAAUGUGUAAGUAACUAUGCACGUCUUGACGGUACCUAGUCAGAAAGCCACGGCUAACUACGUG